Molecule: long non-coding RNA, 3883 nt
Organism: Suricata suricatta (meerkat)
Lineage: Eukaryota; Metazoa; Chordata; Mammalia; Carnivora; Herpestidae
Exons: 4
Source: RefSeq, a predicted model, not a curated record
GAGACAGGACAGGAAGAUGCACGUCUCUGUCUCGGAUUCAUUCUUCCUGGUGUGGCAAGGGGGACAACUGGAUAUCUUUCUGACGAGUGCAUGUGAUUGCUCCAUCCUACUCAGGUGUAGUGGCCAGUUCUGAUUGGCUGUUGGUAAGAGAAGAAUACUUUCCUUACCCCUGACGAUCUGUGGGAGCUCAAUGCUCAGAUGAAAUUUGGCCCAAUGGGAUCUCUAUGAAGGUUAUCAUGGGGCCUAAAAGAGAAGAGAAACUGUCUAUGCCUUUGCCUUUCUUGAAUGCCAUCUUUAGAGAGUAAGAUCACAACUUAAUUUUAAGUCAAUGGUCCUUCAUUCCUACCUGUGGCCUUUUGGACCCCCUUGCAGAAGAUCACUUCUUGAGAACUCAUUUGGGAGUGAAUGAUAUCAAUAAAUCCUUGAAACAAGACUCUUCAGACAAUAGGACUUUUGUUCAAGUGCUACCCUCUGAAGGUGAUGACCACAAAUGUGAGGUGGAUUUAUUACUGAGGGUGCCAUUACUUCUACCACAAACUUCACCAAAGCAAUGAUACCAUCUUCUUUAUGCUUGGAGAAUCUUCUCUUUCCUGUGUUGCAGUGGACACCUCCUGCAGAUAAGAAAUGCUUAACUGAGAAAUGCUCAUGUUGGGAUAUCAUCGAUGAGACUUUAAUUUGGGCAUGGUGACUGUUUCCCUUGCUGCCACUUGACUCAAUCCCAGGAGCCUCAGUAGAGGAAAUAUUAUUGCACCAGAAACUCAAAAUGAUGGAAUUGCUCAGUGCUCCCAUAAAUAUACAUUUAUAAUUUCCAUUUGCCAUAUGGUAAAAUUUAAAUAUUGGAUAUAUUUUAAAAACUUUAACAAAUUUUUUCAAAACUUCAAGGUGUAUCUAAAUAUUUAAUAUAUAAAUUAAGUUCCCUCCUCUCUACCAAUUUUAUCCCCCUCCCAAGCUUUCUUCUAUGAAGGGAGUUGUGUGCAUUCAUUAAAUGGAUAGAUGCACACAUACCGUCACAUACACACAAACUAUUUUUUAGGAGUUCUGGAAGUGGGGCCAUAUUGUACACAUUCUUCUGCAAAUUUUUUUUCAUUUAACAGUUUUUAAUACCCUUUUCUAUUUCAGUAAUACACAUCUGUGUCAUUUGUUGAAUGACUGCACAAUUGUUUUGUAGAUGAAAUAGAAUGAAAUGUUACAAUUAUUUCUCAUUCAUAGAUAUUUAUGUUAGCACCAAAUUUCUGUGCAAUGAAACUCCCUAUUAAUAAUUACACACUUGCCUAUUAUACCAUAAUAAAUUACUUAGCAGUUGAAAUACUGGGAUUAAGGGUAUGCACAUUUCAAAUUAUUACAAGAUUUCCUUAAAAUGCAGUAACAACUUUAUUUUCAAAUGGCAAUAAAUGAGAUUGCCAGCUUUCCCACAACUUGACAGAUAAUGGAUUUUAUAAAUAUUUAAUUUUAUUUUGCCAAUGUGAUAGCCCAAACUAUUGUCUUAAGUUGUAUUUCUUUUGUUUUUGAGUUUGAUCAUUUUUUCAUAUGUUUAUUAGCCAUCUGUAUUCUUUAAUUUCCUCUUUAUGUCCAAUUUUGGGGUAGGGUUUAGAUUUCUGGUUUUGAAGAGCUCAUUUAUAAUUGGGGAAAUAAGCUUUGGAUUAUGAAGCAUUAUAGAUAUCUUUAUGCACUUUUAUACUUCAUUUUUGUUAUAAGAAUAUGUAUGAUUGUUAUAUGUCCAAGUAUAACCAUGUUUGCUUUUAUGGCUUCUGAGUUUCAUGUCAUUAAUGAAAAAUAUUUAUACUGAUUUCAUAAAACCGUUCACCUAUGUUAACUUCUUAUUCUUUUGUGUUUCUUUUAUUCAAAUUCUUAAACCAUGAGAAAUUUUUUUGAUUUGAAAUCUUAAAGUUGCCAAGUUAUUUGCCAUUACUUGCGAUUAUUUGCCAAUAAUUGCCCAUUUAUCUGUAAUGCCAUCUUGCACAUGUGCUGUAUUUCAUCUGUGACUGGCACCAUUUUUGUUCUGUGGAUAUGUGUGUCUUUUCUUCUGCCUCCUGUCUCAUGUCUAUUCUUGUGGGAAGAAAUUACAGUUUAGACUGCAAUUUCAUCAACUUUAAUAAAUUAAUUUAGGAGGGAUUGGUUUUUUAAUAAUAUAAGUCUUCCUAUCCAAGGACAAGGUAUGUCUUUCUUUUUAUUCUACAAUUUUAAUUGCUGUUAACAUUUUCAUUUUGUUUUGGGGUUUCCUUUAAGUUUAUUUUAUUGAUAUUAUUUCUAUAUCUGAAAAUUUCAUUUUGGGGAUAUUGGUCACCUUACUCUCCUCAUGAUUUUCAGAUUUUCUCAAAGUACAUGCGAAAUCCUUUGCAAAUACUGACCAUUUUAAUUCUCUCCUUCCAAAUGAUCUUUAUUUAAUUAUGUUGAUAAUGUUCACUGACUGAUACUUUCAGAGCAUUUAAAAACUGUGAAACUAUUACCCACCCUUGAUUUAAUUAGUUUUUAAUGUACUUUCUUGGAUUUGACCAGUACAUUGUUGUUGGUCUAUUAACCAAAAAGACUCCAAGAAAAAACUACGAUCAAGAAAAGCUGAGUGAGUUAAACUUACUGCAGCAAGGGAAAACACCACUUUGACAAUGUUUAGUAGUGUUUCAAAAGUAGGCUUUAGGGUAUGGGUUGAUAUGGUUUGAGGUGGAAUUUUCAAAAAAUGGAAAUGGUUAAGAAUGCAUAAAAUUUGGCAUACAAUAGUUUAAGAUUGGAAAAAGAGUAACAUGAGGUCCUUGAUAUGAGUCUAGAUAAUCAAAUUUGUGUCUAAUAAAUGAGUUGUUUGCCUACAUGAGUAAUAUAUAUUUCAAAAAUAGAAGAGCUAUAGCUUAGAUAAGAAAACUGUCAAUUUAUUUAUUUGUUUGCAGUUCUAUCUUGUGUAUAGGAUUCUGCUAGACGUGGUAUCAGGUACUAAUCCUAAUAGGUAAGUUAUUCUUAUUUAGGUGAGCUCAAUCACUAAUGCAAUAUGUGAAUUUUAAAUUUGAGAUAUUUUUGUGUAUCAUAUAGGUAAGUUUCCCACCUUUUAUAUAUUUCUAAGAAAUUCCAUCAAAACCAGGUGGUAGAUGUAAUAAAUGAUUUUUGCUAAACAAUUGUAUUAGUCUUCAAUUAAACUUUUAUUUUUGUGAAAUAAUUCUAUUAUUGAAACUUUAAUUUAUUCCUUGAAUUAACAAUUUGGUAAAAAUGUUUUGGUAAAAAAAAUGUUUCGGUCUAAAUUUACUACUAAAUUAUGAAUAUCUUAAUUUGAUGUGGACUUUUUGCAAGUAUACUUACCGUUAAAUGAAGUUGAUCUAUAAUUUUAUGUCCUAUUUUUGUCAUGGUUUGAUAUCACAUUUUCUGGUUGUGUUAAAUUAAUUUUGAGGACAUUCUAUGCUAUAGAAUUGAUUGAAAACCUUUAGCAUUAAUAUGAAGGGCUGAGUGAACACAUCAAUUAAAUAAUCUGAACCGUCGUCCUUUCUUUUGGUGGUUUGAAGAACUGAGGUUAUCUAGAAAAUUUUCUCACUUGUUUUCUGUAGUGACUGUUUUUUGUCUUGCAUCUUAUAUUUAACUUGUUCUAUCCUAGAAAAUCACAAUCCAUUUAGAUUUUUCAGCACAGUAACAUGAAGUUAUACAAUGUGUUCUUUCAUCACUCUCUUAAUUUCUCAUUUCAGUUGAUAUCCAUUUUCAUUCCAGUUUUGUUAGUUCUAGCAGAACUAUGCCUUUUUUAAAUGAAGUAAGUCUGACUCAUGGAUUUUUUAGCAUCACUAGUUGCUCCUUUGCCUUCCCCCAAUUAGCUUUUUGGUAAAAUUUAUCAGUGUGGUUUUUUUAAACUGUUUUAAUUUAUUUAUAUUUUUUGUAGUUCUUUGCAUUUACUGAAUAAAUUCUUAAACAUGUA